GCCAGCAGCUCUGUCACCCUGCAGAUCAGAGCUGGCAGCCCCACUGGAGCUCAGCAGGUGUGAGCCUGGUCAGUACCUGGAUGGGAGACUCCUGGGAAAGCUCAGGUUGCUGCUGGAA
This is a ribosomal RNA of Lepisosteus oculatus (spotted gar), 118 nucleotides long. The record is from Rfam. Lineage: Eukaryota; Metazoa; Chordata; Actinopteri; Semionotiformes; Lepisosteidae.